GAUGAACGCUGGCGGCGUGCCUAAUACAUGCAAGUCGAGCGAACGGACGAGAAGCUUGCUUCUCUGAUGUUAGCGGCGGACGGGUGAGUAACACGUGGAUAACCUACCUAUAAGACUGGGAUAACUUCGGGAAACCGGAGCUAAUACCGGAUAAUAUUUUGAACCGCAUGGUUCAAAAGUGAAAGACGGUCUUGCUGUCACUUAUAGAUGGAUCCGCGCUGCAUUAGCUAGUUGGUAAGGUAACGGCUUACCAAGGCAACGAUGCAUAGCCGACCUGAGAGGGUGAUCGGCCACACUGGAACUGAGACACGGUCCAGACUCCUACGGGAGGCAGCAGUAGGGAAUAUUCCGCAAUGGGCGCAAGCCUGACGGAGCAACGCCGCGUGAGUGAUGAAGGUCUUCGGAUCGUAAAACUCUGUUAUUAGGGAAGAACAUAUGUGUAAGUAACUGUGCACAUCUUGACGGUACCUAAUCAGAAAGCCACGGCUAACUACGUG
Molecule: ribosomal RNA, 497 nt
Filed under: uncultured bacterium
Lineage: Bacteria
Description: partial 16S ribosomal RNA
Rfam family: Bacterial small subunit ribosomal RNA
Source: RNAcentral